AAGAAGCGGAGGUUGUUGCUUCGCUUGUGUACUCUGAUGAUAAUACACUGGUUGAGAAGCCAGUUGAUGCUGAUGCAGCCCUUCUUACAAGUUAUGAUGGAAUUGAAUAUGCUUCUUCUGAUAGACCAAGCAAAGUAAUUAGUGGACGUGCUUCCUUUAAGCUCAAGAUAUCUCAGCUUUCAUCCAAGUGCGAUAACAGGCUGUUCCGCAUUAGGUUUGACAUUCCAAGACUGGGUAAAUAUCCUUUCCUUGAGGUAUUUUCCAGACCAAUACGGUGUAUUUCUCGGAAUCGCAGCACGCGGGCGACCUCUCUAAUGUUGAAGAAAUCAUCUUUGGGGAUCCAUUUGCUAAAUGGAUCUCAAUCUCCUGUGUUGGACGAUGGAUCUUAUGAUCGUCCCUGUAUUGUACGUGAAGCAAAACAAAGUCCAUCAUCAAAACGGGUCAAAUUAGGACAAGAGAAACUAUGUGCAAAUUUUAAGGAUGAUUUUGUGCUGAAGCAAGCUAACGGUGGUUCAAGAUCUCAU
Molecule: unclassified non-coding RNA, 524 nt
Filed under: Hevea brasiliensis (rubber tree)
Lineage: Eukaryota; Viridiplantae; Streptophyta; Magnoliopsida; Malpighiales; Euphorbiaceae
Source: RNAcentral